AGAAAAUUAGUUAAAUUAAUAACAUUAAUAUGUCAUAUUAAAAUAAUUGUAUAUCAAUAUUUUCUA
This 66-nucleotide transfer RNA is filed under the name Eurycantha calcarata. RNAcentral describes it as "tRNA-Asp". The record is from RNAcentral. Lineage: Eukaryota; Metazoa; Arthropoda; Insecta; Phasmatodea; Phasmatidae.